RNAcentral lists this unclassified non-coding RNA (240 nucleotides) under soil metagenome. RNAcentral's name for it is "partial contains 5.8S ribosomal RNA, internal transcribed spacer 2, and large subunit ribosomal RNA". The record is from RNAcentral.
AACGGUCUAUACCUGCGGUACCUGCGGAAGGAUCAUUAUAGAGUGGUAAACCCCCCGUAAAAGGGGGGGACCUCCUGUCCUUUGUAGGCUCUUUUUUAAAAGGGCUUUUUUUAAUUUUCUGCUUCGGUGGGGUUAUCCCACCGGAACAACCUCAAAACUCUUAUCAAAAAAUCGUUCUGUCUGAGAACCUUUUAUAAUAAAAAAAAACUUUUAGCAAUGGAUCUCUAGAUCGGAAGAGCA